Molecule: long non-coding RNA, 1507 nt
Filed under: Piliocolobus tephrosceles (Ugandan red Colobus)
Lineage: Eukaryota; Metazoa; Chordata; Mammalia; Primates; Cercopithecidae
Description: lncRNA (ENSPTEG00000004856.1)
Source: RNAcentral
UUAUUACAGCGUUAUUAUUUUUACAUAGAACAGGAAAACCAAAUAAAAGAAGAGCAGAUUGAUCGUUUAUUAUUGUGCGAGAGAGAUGAUCUUAUAAUUAAGCAUAAAACAACUGGCUCUACUGAAAGUAAUCACGUACAAAAAAUUAAUAAUAACAAAGAAAUUGUGAUAGAAAAAAAAAAACAAAUGCAAACAAAUGAUACAGAUGGGGAUGAUACUUGUGUGGAUAAAACCAACGAACCGGAUGAAGUUUCUUGUAUAAAUGCAGAUAUUUCUGUGGUAGGAAAAACAAAAACAAAAAAAAAACCUAAAAACAUGUACCUCCAAGUAGACAUGAUAUAUGAAGAAUGUAAAAAGUAUGAGCAAGAUUAUUACACAAUGUAUAGAGAAAACGGUAAUAUCCCUGUUUCUGAUACUUUUCCUAUCGAAGUAUACCAAAACGAUCGAACAGAAAAAAUAAACAUACAACAUAAUAAUGAUACAAAAUGUAUGAACAAAAUAAUUACAUAUGCAUUCGUUGUAAAGAAAAUAAACAUAAUUGAAAUAGUUUUUAAUUUAGACAAUUAUUAUACAAAUACAAUUUUAAAAUCUUUAUACGCUUUAUUCCUUAAUGUACCACUGUUCACUAAAAAACAUUUGCAAGAUUUAUAUAAAAUUUUACUUUAUAGUAAUAAAAAAUAUAUUUUAAUGAAUGAACAAAAUAUUUUUGAAAAUAAAUUUUAUAAUAAAGACAAAAGUAAACAAAUGAAACAUAUUACGAAAAUUAUAACUAACCCUUUUAAAAAAUUAAAUAUUUAUCAUAUGUUUUUUAUUUUUGCUAAUAAUAAUCUUGAAUCAUUUUUAAAUUAUAUAAUCAAUUAUUUAAAUGAGGUUUACCAACCUGGUACAUCAUAUACAUGCACAGGUACGGGCACAGGUACGGGCACAGGUACGGGUACGGGUACGGGUACGGGUACGGGUAUGGGUACGGAUACGGAUACGGAUACGGAUACGGAUACGGAUACGGGUAUAGAUACGGGUAUAGAUACAGGUACAGGUACAGACACUGUCACACAUGUAGUUUAUGAUUAUAACAAAUCAGUUAUUUAUAACAACGCACUAUUCUUCCUACAACAUUUGAUAGCCUUUCACCACGUCACAGCUGAUACCAAACAUAUUAUUAAUGAUAUAGCACUAAAUUGUUUGUUCCUAUUAAUUGAUAUUUAUUUAAAAAAUUGUGAUAAUUUAAUUAAAAUUGUUAGAAAUAAGUACAGAAAAAAAUUAAAUUAUUUGGAUGGUGUAUAUUUUUUUAAAUUUAAUUUCACUAUUUCUUUAAAAAGGAAUAGUAAAGAGAAAAAAAAAAUCAUCACAGUAAUAAAAGAACACAAAAGUCCAUAUGUUGAUUUAAGGAUAGAAGAACAGAACAUAGUAAACACUUUAUUAUACAUAUCUGGUAAAAUACAAUUGUCAUUGUUAAGUAAUAAUAUAUUUAAAAAAUUAAUACAUAGUUUUAAACAUAGGUUGACAU